GGGCAAUUUACCAAAAUAAGUUUUUUUUUUUUAAUUUUAUCGAAAUGGGUCUGGUAUUUUAUUAUUUACCGAAAUGGGUCCUUUUCCCCUAAAUCGCGUCCACGUCAACGCGAUGUCAGGGAAUGUGUCAGCAAAGCGUGGCCACGUCAGAGCGCUUUGAUGACGUGGCAACAAAGCGCGGCCCUGAAAGCGCGAUUUGUUACCACGUCAGUAAAGCGCUCUGACGUGGUUGCGCUUUGAUGACGUGGCGCGUCCCUGGGGAUGCGAUUUAGACAGCGCGUGAAUAGUGCAACGGUCAAAAAUGUGACCGUUGCCCCUCCAACGGUAAAAAAAAACUAUAAAUACCCCCACCCUUUUUUUUUCACAAACAAAUCCUCUCUCAAAUUUCCUCUCAAUUUCCUUCCAAAUUUCUCUCAAAUUCAUAUUUAAUCUCAAUUAGCUCUCAAUUUCCUUUUAAAUUUCUCUUCAAUCCCUAUUUUUAAAUAAUUUUAAAAAAUUUUGAUUUUUUUAAACCGAAAAAAAUUACUCUUAAAUCCUUAAUUUUUAAACCGAAAAAAUUUGUACGAUUUCAACAAUGGAUGGAGGAUUGACUCGUCUUGAUAAGCACCACAUAUCCGUGGAACAAAUGAAAAUGUCUGUAGAUCGGGUAUUGAAAUACAAUAUCCAGAAUAUUCAUGCUCCUCCAUCACCGUUGGUAGAGAACUACCUGCGGGAAGCGGGUUUUUGGCACGUGGCGACGGUAGGCCGGGGAUGCAAGGUGGACCUGGAACUAAUCAGUGCGUUGAUCGAGAGGUGAAGACCCGAGACGCACACAUUCCAUCCUCCAUGUGGAGAGUGCACUGUCACUUUGGAAGACGUCAGUCUGUAAUUGGGAUUGCCGGUGGACGGGUACCCAGUCACGGGGUCUGCCCAAUCUAGCGAUUGGCCAGCGGUGUGCUACGAGCUUUUGGGCACUAUUCCGGAGAAAAUGUACGGAGGUAAGAUCGAGAUGGGCUGGUUGCGAGACAUAUUCCCGGAUCCAGAUGAAGAUUCAACCGAAAUAGAAAGAAUCCAAUAUGCUCUGGCAUACAUUCUUCAGUUAAUUGGAGGUUAUCUGAUGACGGACUUGUCACGGAGCCGCGUACAUCUAAGAUGGCUGCUGAAACUCGUUGAUUUUAGAGUAGCCGGUGAAUUGAGUUGGGGGUCUGCUGUCUUGGCCACAUUAUAUCGGGAGAUGUGCGGGGCGACGCGACCGAGGAGAGCAAAAAUUAGAGGUUGUCUGUCACUACUGCAGUCAUGGGCAUGGUUUUGCUUUCUAUUUCUAAGUCCUCGAGUGAACCACCCAUAUACAUUCCCACUCAUAACAAGGCAAAUUUUAUAUUAGAUUUUACAAUUAUUAUGUAGAUAUUUAAAAAUAAAAAUAUGCUAAAAGUUUAAUUAAUUAUGUGAAACCAUCCGGCAAGUCAUGCUCGAUUACCUACCGAACUUGAAGAUAUACGGCUUCUAUUAGACCAACAGUCGGAAGCACAUUUUCAAUGGACACCAUACGAGGAUCCGGUAAUUCAGACAGUAAUUCCGGAUGAGUUCUUACAAAAUCGAAAUGCUUGGUACGUGAAAGUCGCGUUGACCAACUACGUAACCAUGGAGCCGCACCAGUCAGACAGAGUGCUACGACAGUUUGGAUGUAGACAACCAAUUCCCGUAGAACCUGAGGUGUUUGACGAUCAACACAAAGUCGACCUUCGGCAAUUGAAUACAAAUUGGCCGAGAUACUGGUCCGAGUACAUAGAAAUGUGGGAAGAUCGGUACGAAUAUAUACCUACUCGGGAACCAAUCAUCGUUCCGGAGUUAGCGUGCGUGCCAGAAUACAUGCCAUGCUUUAGGAUCCAUGGCAAGCCAUAUUUACUAACGCCAGAGGAGAGGCAGCGGCAAAUACGUGUCCAAAGGGAAAUGCGCGGGCCUCUAAAUCCAAGACGAUGAGACGACGACGCUGGCCCCUCAACGAGGCCCAGACAUUCACCUGGCCCAUCAUCAACGGCCAUGCAAUCACCAGGCCCAACGACUGCACCGACAGAGUCACCCGACCCAGCAGUUCAACCGAUGAUACCCACGCAACCGCCUUUUCAAAUGAUGCCAGGUGCGUUUCCUAGCCCUUUUAUGUAUCCUAACCCUUAUAUAUAUCCUUUUCUGAGUCCUAUGGAAGGUUGAAGCCAAUGGCCCGGUUCAGCUCUAUUUCCUGUUACACCGAGUGGACCGCCGAUGUAUAGGCUAGCGGUGCACGAGGGAUCGCAAGAGAGGCGGUCAGGGAGCUUUUCUUUUUACCAAUCCCUACCACCGUAUGAGUUUCAAACACCGUCGCCGUUGGUAAUGCAAACACCCCCACAUUCACUAUUCUUUCAAGGUGGAUCAUAGUCCCAACUCUGACAACAGAUGCCCUACCGGAAGAAUUAGAAUCCCCGCUGGAGGAACCACAACUGCCACCGGAAGCUGGACAAAGGAGG
Molecule: long non-coding RNA, 2480 nt
Organism: Gossypium raimondii (Peruvian cotton)
Lineage: Eukaryota; Viridiplantae; Streptophyta; Magnoliopsida; Malvales; Malvaceae
Exons: 3
Source: RefSeq, a predicted model, not a curated record